GAUGAACGCUGGCGGCGUGCCUAAUACAUGCAAGUCGGGCGAACGGACGCGAAGCUUGCUUUUCUGAUGUUAGCGGCGGACGGGUGAGUAACACGUGGAUAACCUACCUAUAAGACUGGGAUAACUUCGGGAAACCGGAGCUAAUACCGGAUAAUAUUUUGAACCGCAUGGUUCAAAAGUGAAAGACGGUCUUGCUGUCACUUAUAGAUGGAUCCGCGCUGCAUUAGCUAGUUGGUAAGGUAACGGCUUACCAAGGCAACGAUGCAUAGCCGACCUGAGAGGGUGAUCGGCCACACGGGAACUGGGACACGGUCCAGACUCCUACGGGAGGCAGCAGUAGGGAAUCUUCCGCAAUGGGCGAAAGCCUGACGGAGCAACGCCGCGUGAGUGAUGAAGGUCUUCGGAUCGUAAAACUCUGUUAUUAGGGAAGAACAUAUGUGUAAGUAACUGUGCACAUCUUGACGGUACCUAAUCAGAAAGCCACGGCUAACUACGUG
This 497-nucleotide ribosomal RNA is filed under the name uncultured bacterium. Its description in RNAcentral is "partial 16S ribosomal RNA". It matches the Rfam family "Bacterial small subunit ribosomal RNA", at positions 28 to 507 of the family's 1533-position model. The record is from RNAcentral.